AAAGCAGUAAAUUGACUUGGAUGUUUUAAACAAAUGGAGCCUGCAAUUUAAAUGAGAUGAAUAAUUUGAAUUAACUUUUCAGGAUUACUCUUACUGAAAUAUACCCAAAGGUAAAACCAACAGAUGAAGAAUGUACCCUAUGCUUUUUUUUCAUUCCAUGAUUAGUGUUAAUAGAAAAGAUACCAGGAACUGACAUCUUUCCUUCUGUGUCCUGUUACAAAGUUAUCCUUUCAGUUCAAUGAAAAUUAUUUGUUAGUUAUUUUGGGGAAGAGUUUUUAGAACUUCUAAAAUUCUAACAGAUAGUGUGUGUGUUGUCGAAGUGAUGUGUGGUGCAGUGAGCAUUGGCUGUCUCCAGAGCCAACAAUAAAUUUAAAUUAAGAAGCAAAACAAUGUAAAUGACUUCUACUAACAGGCACUUAAAAGUUAGAAUAUGUUGUACUCAUUUAACUUGGCUCUCUAAUGAGCAAUUUUAUAUAUUUUCUUAGCACAGGUAAGAUUUACCAUGGUUUUAUAGAUGUUUUAAGGUAAACUGUAUUUCGUAAAAUAGGUGAAUAAAUUACCAUCUGGAAUAUUUAAUCUAAGACUUCUUCAGUGAAAAAAAGUGUUGAAUUUUUUGUUGGGCAAGUCGCUCAGUUUGGAGAUUUUUCUUGUAGGUGUUAGGAUGGUGAUUUUCAAAGCAUUUUGGAGAACAUGGGUCAUUUCUGUGUUUAAGGCUUCUGCCCAACUUUCCCAAUAUUUCCAUUCUUGCAUCUCUAAACCCAAACUAAAAAACUCCUUAUGUGUAUGUCUCGGCAAUGUAGUCGCACCCUCCUUGUGGGUCUAUUGGUCUGUAGAUCUUAUUCUGGAUCUACCAAUGUAGAGUUGAAUUUUAAUCUGCCGUUCCUUAAUAAAUGUUUGCCAUGUAAUUUAAAUGAAAUCGAAAGAUAGGGUAAUGACAAUUAAAAUUUCAAAUAUUCUUUCAUCUGACAUCUUCAUCUCCAGAAACGAUUGACUCUUGUUUGUUUAGCUCCUAAGCCGGUUGAAAUUUUCAUCAACUGAACAGAGAUGGCAGAAUCUGUCUCCAAAGGCAGCCAGACAUGUUAUUUAAGGGUGGUGGUGUCUCCCAGUGGGUUUCCUCCUGUGAACCUUUCUCACUCACCAGGUCUUUACUGGGCUCUGAAAUAAAUCUGUCAUGGUGAAUUUGAGUUACAGCUGAAGGACAGCAUAAUAGAUUGCUAAGGUAUAAUAAAGAGAAACACUAAGUCAAAAUAUUGUUUAGCACUCACUUAAUACUCUACAUUAGGUGAAGUCCUCCAUUGUCCCUCGCCCGCCUCUCUAUUUUGAUCUGAAAGCUCGAUUUCCAAAUUACAAAUGAGAGACAUCCGAUUCUCUUCUGUGACUAAAGCCAGGUACUACAGUAGCUUUACAGCCUUUGCAACCCAGACCGUCUCCUGUCAGCGGCAGUUAAGGAGACUUCAGCUCGGAUGUUGCCUGGAUGGCCUAAACGGGCUGUAAAUUUAGUAGUUUGAGGAGGACACAUCACGUUUUAGAACCGAAGGUGCUUCCUGUUCAACACGUUUCACCACGUUUCCUUGGGUGUCAGGAAGCUCUCAACUUUUUAGAAUUCAGCAUUUUUGUUUGUUAAUAGGAUCCUUGUGAGUUGAUCCACACACACGCCUCUAAGUUCUUGCCACCACCCCUUUACCUGGUAAAGCAGGAUCAUUUGCCCAAGUCCAAAGCUAAGACCGGUGUGGUGGCCAGAACUAGCAUUUAGACUUCUCAGAGUAAGCCCUGUCCAGAGGUCGGCUGUCUGUCUUAAGUAUAAACCUGUCACUCACAUUCAUUCAGGUCUAUGAUGUUACCAAAACCAAAACAAAACAAAACAAAAAACCCAACCUAAAAUAGAACAAGCUACACUACUCUCUUUUAAUAACAACUGGUGGUGUGAUCUGAUAAAUAAGCCAGAAUUUCCAGAAUCUCCUGCUGUAAGACAAAAAUAAUACCCCAGGACAGGAUGACUGAAAGGUGGUUCAAGGUUUGUGUUUUAAAGUGUAUGCAGUUGUGAGCUCGCUUUCCAUCCAUGCCUGAUUUAUGAUAUAACCUAUGCAACUGAUGGUCUAAAUAUCUUUGCACGUUCUUGAAGCUUAUUCUCUAGAAUUUCUGGAUAAUGAGUCUUGUAUCUGAAUGGUGCUAAGAGGCAGCCCCGGCUAAGUCUGGAACUUGAAGUUCCUGCAGGGAUGGGACAAUGGCCCCAGCAGCUCCGUAUGGCCCCAUCAGUCUCCACCCACAGGGCUCUUCUGGGCUGGGCGGCUGUGGCUCUCAGAACGGAUUUGCAUAUCUGUAGCCUCAGAGCUGUUUCCUCACUAGACUGCGGGCCCUCUGAGGCCGAGGCUGAGGCCAUUGCAGGAUCCUUUCCAUCUGAUUGUAUGAGAGUCCCCGUCAAGGAAGAGCGACUGCCCUGUGGCUGCAGAGGCAUCGUUCUUGCCUGGAUGAAACUGGCCUCUUCUCAGCCCCUGGGUUUCCGCCACCUCAGCCUGCCCGGCCUCUGAGGAGCCGCUGGACUGACCCAGUAGCCCACAGGGUACGCAAAACCAUUUCAAAUGCUCCCUUCUCCUCGACUGCAAAAUGUCAUGUUACAAACAAACCCCCACCCCUUUUUUCUUUCAAGUGUCAUUUUGUGCAGAAACUGUAUGUCCUGAGGGGAAACAGAGGAAAACAGCAAUGGCAACUUGAGAAUGGGGUGCUGGCCUCUGCCCCCAGCCUGCUCUUGAGAAAGAACCCCCUUGGCCUGGCAGCAGCCAGCAGAGGGAGGGGAGAAUGCAAUUAAAGCUGCAGGUGUCCCUUGGCUUCUCAGCCGGAAAGCUGUGUACUGCUAGGAGAUGCUCGGGUAUCAAUGCUUGAUUAUCAUUGAUGUCCUCCCAUUGGGGACAGUCACUGCAGAAACCCCAGUACUGUUUGUGAUGUCAGGGAAACAAAAGCUUGUGUGUUUAUGUUAUACUUUUCAUGUGGUUUGGGAGCAGACCAAAUGAGCAGGGUGGCUGUGACCUGUGAAAGCUGACGGGGGGCUAGGAGGCCAAGGUGUAAAAGAGACCCAGGAAGAAAAGCAACGUUGCGAAUCAUUUGUUUCCCCUCGUAUUUGGAGCUCAACUAACUAAAUGGCCAAAGACCUAUCUCCAGUGGACAUGCGCCCACCAUGCUUGUGCUUAUUUCUCUUUGACUGUUUGUAUAGCUGGUUGAUUGUCAGCUGUGGCUGCACGUAUUGAAUAAUUAAGACGAGCCUGAGCCCACAGGUCUGGGCAGAGGGCAGGUGACACGAUGGGUCCUCGGCAGCUGCAGGUAAUUUCAGCUCCUUGCACCUGACAACCUCACUUCCAGCUUAAACUCAUCUUGUUUAACUCGAAGGCAAGGCAUCUAGGCGUCUGAAUUAUUGGCCCCCUCCCAAAUAAAAAGUUUGGGACUUCAGUUAAAUGGCUCACACAGGUCAGCCCCUCCUGCACAAACACGGUCGUGAUGCCACUUCUCUUGUAGGAGCAAGAGCAGUGACUCAGACACGAUGGCCGCAGGGCAGAGAACAGCAUCCCCGCUGCCUGUGUCCACACCCCAUUUCCUCCUGGAUCUGGAUUCCCUUGCUUGUUGGGUUCAGGCAGCCAUUUCUGUGCACGGGGGAUUCCAACGUGAACCCUCCUCUUUCUCAAGGACAGAUGUCAUGGAGUCUUUUUGUAUAUGAAGGACACUUUUUAAAAGUGUCUAGAGAAAGAGAAUAAAAGGCAUCAUUCUUGUCCUUAAGCAGCCACCAAGUGGCAAAUAUUUAAUGUGCAGCUGGAGGGUGUGCUGAGGGGUGGGGGUGGGGAGGGACAAAGGGCGCAGUCAGGGUCCUUGCUCUCUGGGUCCUUACUGGGUUGCUGACGUAGUUUGUGUAAAUAACGCAUCUGCCUGCAAUUUACAGAUUUCAAAGCACACAGGCAGGCGUUGUCUCAACCGACACAACUUUGAAACCGCACGUUCGUUGUGACUUGAGAGAUGGAAGAUAGUAAAGCCAGCCGUCCCAGGGGAGCGCUUGGCUCAUUUGGGUCUUACAGGCAGGUCUUUGGACUAUAAACCCAGAGAUCUUCCUGUGGGCAACCCCUCUGGGCACAGCAUGGCAGCCCUGCCUGGUGGUGAGAGCUCAGCUCCCCUCUGAGCCCCACUGUCCCAUUUGUAAAUUUGCAGUAAAACGAAUAAU
Molecule: long non-coding RNA, 4201 nt
Filed under: Sus scrofa (pig)
Lineage: Eukaryota; Metazoa; Chordata; Mammalia; Artiodactyla; Suidae
Description: lncRNA (ENSSSCG00015019409.1)
Source: RNAcentral